UCACUUGAAGAUGGGCGUGCGUCUGAUUAGGUAGUUGGUGAGGUAACGGCUCACCAAGCCGACGAUCAGUAACUGGCGUGAGAGCGCGACCAGUCACACGGGCACUGAGACACGGGCCCGACUCCUACGGGAGGCAGCAGUAAGGAAUAUUGGUCAAUGGACGCAAGUCUGAACCAGCCAUGCCGCGUGGAGGAUGAAUGCCCUCUGGGUUGUAAACUUCUUUUAUCUGGGACGAAACACUUCUUUUCUAAGAGGCUUGACGGUACCAGAGGAAUAAGCACCGGCUAACUCCGUGCCAGCAGCCGCGGUAAUACGGAGGGUGCAAGCGUUAUCCGGAUUCACUGGGUUUAAAGGGUGCGUAGCGGAUCUGUAAGUCCGUGGUGAAAUCUCCAAGCUUAACUUGGAAACUGCCAUGGAUACUA
Molecule: ribosomal RNA, 422 nt
Filed under: Chitinophaga sp.
Lineage: Bacteria; Pseudomonadati; Bacteroidota; Chitinophagia; Chitinophagales; Chitinophagaceae
Description: bacterial SSU rRNA
Rfam family: Bacterial small subunit ribosomal RNA
Source: RNAcentral